This 407-nucleotide ribosomal RNA is filed under the name uncultured bacterium. RNAcentral's name for it is "partial 16S ribosomal RNA". It matches the Rfam family "Bacterial small subunit ribosomal RNA", at positions 30 to 526 of the family's 1533-position model. The record is from RNAcentral.
AUCGAACGCUGGCGGCAUGCCUAACACAUGCAAGUCGAACGGAGCGUCGGACGGGUGAGUAAUGCUUAGGAAUCUGCCUGGUAGUGGGGGAUAACGUCCGGAAACGGGCGCUAAUACCGAAUACUAGCACACUAGCCAAGGGCGGAUUAGCUAGUUGGUGGGGUAAAGGCCUACCAAGGCGACGAGCCGUAACUGGUCUGAGAGGAUGAUCAGUAACACGGGAAUGGAGAAACGGUCCAGCUUCCUACGGGAGGCAGCAGUGGGGAAUAUUGGACAAUGGGCGAAAGCCUGCUCCAGCCAUGCCGCGUGUGUGAAGAAGGUCUUCGGAUUGUAAAGCACUUUAAGUUGGGAGGCGUUACCAACAGAAUAAGCACCGGCUAACUUCGUGCCAGCCGCCGCGGUAAUAC